This 547-nucleotide ribosomal RNA is filed under the name uncultured Halomicronema sp. Its description in RNAcentral is "bacterial SSU rRNA". It matches the Rfam family "Bacterial small subunit ribosomal RNA", at positions 94 to 674 of the family's 1533-position model. Lineage: Bacteria; Bacillati; Cyanobacteriota; Cyanophyceae; Nodosilineales; Nodosilineaceae. The record is from RNAcentral.
AGUGGCGAACGGGUGCGUAAUACGUGAGAAUCUGCCUUUAGGAGGAGUAUAACUGUUGGAAACGACUGCUAACACUCCAUAUGUCGAGAGAUGAAAUAAUUUAUUGCCUAAAGAUGAGCUCGCGCCUGAUUAGCUAGUUGGUGAGGUAAUGGCUCACCAAGGCCACGAUCAGUAGCUGGUUUGAGAGAACGAUCAGCCACACUGGGACUGAGACACGGCCCAGACUCCUCCGGGAGGCAGCAGUGAGGAAUUUUCCGCAAUGGGCGAAAGCCUGACGGAGCAAUACCGCGUGAGGGAUGAAGGAUUUUGGUCUGUAAACCUCUUUUCUCAAGAAAGAAGUUCUGACGGUACUUGAGGAAUAAGCAUCGGCUAACUCCGUGCCAGCAGCCGCGGUAAUACGGGGGAUGCAAGCGUUAUCCGGAAUCAUUGGGCGUAAAGCGCCUGUAGGUUGUUUAAUAAGUCUGUUGUUGAAGACUAGGGCUCAACCCUAGGAAAGCAAUGGAAACUACUAGACUUGAGUAUGGCAGGGGUAGAGGGAAUUUCUAGU